GAAACGACCGUGGAAGAUAUAUUUGUCACAAUGCCAUUCUUUGCAUAUUACAUUAAAACACACUUUCAGAGUGCACAUGGCUUCACAGCCUGAUGGCUUCACAAGCAGUUCAUAUGUCGCAAACACGAGGUACAGAAACAAGCCCUUCUUAUUUUACAAUCCAAUUUCUUGUGCACGAGAGAGGACGGUCUUGUUCUUGGUCUUGGGCAUGGAUUUUAGGUGGAUAGUCCUCCAGUUGUCCAAGGACGCUGCAAAGCUGCCACGUAUGAUUAUACAGGUGUAGAUGCAACUUUGUGUAGCAGCGCCGUCUAGAAAGGUUCCAUACCUUCAAAGGGAACAAACAGUAAUUAAAUAUUAGUGCAACCCCAUAUAUGGAAGAGACGUUAAAAUCAACAAAAAGCACAUUUAUAAAAGACAAGAAAAUCAUCUUAUAUAGUACGUAGUAUACUAUUCUCCGAGCAUUUUUUUUAAUAUAGGUUCCUACUAUGGAACAACCCAAAUGAAAAUAGUACUCCUGCUAUUGCGUGUAAUUAGCAAGCAUGUGACAUGAACUGGUCACAGACGACUGGCUAAUCAUUUGCUAGCUUGGAAACUUCUAAGGAGAUGCUAAAUAAGUCCACUCUCUGCAUUUAGCGUCCAUAUUUGCUCAUAACCUCACAAGCAAGCAAACUGUAGAAUUAAUUUCACAGAAAGCAUAUAUAUUCCGGCCGGUGGAUCAAAAACAUAAUAAUGGCAACGAAAACAAGACAGACACUUGUAAUCUAAUAAAGAUGACAAAGGGGAGACCUGCACCUGCUAUUGCGUUUCCUCGUCUUGAAUGUAAACAAUCCAGAUCCCCCCGUCUGGGUCGACGACCAGCACACGAAUAGGCGGAGCUUCGACGGCCUGGUCGUGGGCGGGAGGCGGCGGUGCCAUGAAUGAUAUAGAGCAACGUCUCUUGAGGACGAAACAAAACAAACGGAGGACGCACGUAAGAAGACGGAAAUGAAAUUGAAAAAUAGGUUCAACGAAGAAGGAAAGGAAGCUCAGGAGGGCACCGUUGCGCGGCGGAGAUCUUGUGCUACGUAUGUGGUGCGAAGAGGCCGGGCGGCCGUCGCCGCUGCUGCACGGUUGAGGAGGAGAACUCGAUCGGGGUUGCGCUCGGGGUGGAGAGGGAGAGGAUGGAUGGAAGGAGAUGGAAGGCGUGCUGGUGGUUUGCCCGGCCCAGAGCUGGAGAGGCACGGCGGCAGUCUAUUUGUACGUUUUGUGCUACUAGUACUAGCGCGUAGUACGCGGGGGGCAGUGGCGGUUGGGC
Molecule: long non-coding RNA, 1294 nt
Filed under: Triticum aestivum (bread wheat)
Lineage: Eukaryota; Viridiplantae; Streptophyta; Magnoliopsida; Poales; Poaceae
Description: long non-coding RNA (TAES_LNC023516)
Source: RNAcentral